AUGGCUCCGGCUCGAGUUGCUGCAGGGGUGCUGCUGGCGGCGAUCGGCUUUGUGCUCUCUGUGGUCGCGGACAACCCGACCACGACAUCGCCGCAACCCUUCGUCUGGCAGAAGGCGCAUGCGACGUUCUACGGCGGCACCAGACGCCUCCGACACGAUGGGUGGCGCUUGCGGUGCUACAAGAUCGCAUGCGACCGGAAGCGAGCAGACCUGUUGUUUUGCAAGCCUGGCGUGACGGUCACUGUCACUGCCACAAACUUCUGCCCGCCCAAUGACGCCCUCCCCAAUGACAACGGAGGCUGGUGCAACCCGUCACGGCCACACUUCGACAUGGCCCAGCCAGCCUGGGAGAAGAUUGGUGUUUAUAGAGGUGGCAUCAUCCCUGUCAUGUACCAGAGAGUUCCGUGCGUGAAGCGGGGUGGCGUGAAGUUCAGAAUCAAUGGUCAUGAUUAUUUUAAUCUUGUUCUUGUGAGCAAUGUUGCUGCAGCAGGCUCAAUCAAGUCCAUGGAUGUCAAGAGCUCCAAUUCGGACGACUGGAUGCCUAUGGCACGCGAUUGGGGCGCUAACUGGCACUCGCUGGCGAACCUCACCAACAAGAUGCUCUCCUUCAGGCUAACCAACACCGAUGGACACAUACUUGUGUUCAACAACGUUGUGCCAAAGGGAUGGAACUUUGGGCAAUCAUUUGUUAGCAAAUUGCAAUUCUACUGA
RNAcentral lists this ribosomal RNA (711 nucleotides) under Triticum aestivum (bread wheat). RNAcentral's name for it is "partial small subunit ribosomal RNA". The record is from RNAcentral. Lineage: Eukaryota; Viridiplantae; Streptophyta; Magnoliopsida; Poales; Poaceae.